RNAcentral lists this long non-coding RNA (929 nucleotides) under Mus musculus (house mouse). RNAcentral's name for it is "long non-coding RNA chr2:11181011-11181940". The record is from RNAcentral. Lineage: Eukaryota; Metazoa; Chordata; Mammalia; Rodentia; Muridae.
UGAUCUCCACCCUCCACAUACAGGUUCUGUGGUAUGCAUAGGCGCUCUCUCUCUCUCUCUCUCUCUCUCUCUCUCUCUCUCUCUCUCUUUCUCUCUCUCUCUCUCUCCCCUCUCCUCUCUCCUCUCUCCUCUCCCCUGAUCUUUGCUGUCACACACACAAUUUUUUAUGCACAUUGGUGUUUUGCCUGUGUGUGUGUCCGGGUGAGGGUGUUGAAUCCCUGAAGCUAGAGUUAGAGACAGUUUCGAGCUGCCCUGUGGGUGCUGGGAAGAGAACCUGAGUACCAGAAGGUACUCUUAAACACAGAGCCAUUUCUCCAGACCCCAUAAUUAAAAAAAAAAAGGCUGUUUAGAUGAUUCAAAGGCAGACUAAUCAAAAAUAUGAACCGAAAAGAAGGAAAGGGGAAAAGUAUUUCCAAGAAGAUUAAAAAUAAAUCCUAGCAAUAAUGAAAGAGGAGGGGAGGGAGAGGAGGGAAAGGGAGAAGGAGAGAAACAGGGAAGAUGGAAUGGAGAAGGGAAGGCAGGGCAGACACUAUUUCAGAUUCCUAACAACCACAGAGCAGAGCUGGAACGACCUCAGGGUCUGUUUAUUUCUGGUGUGAAAGUUGGGUCACGGACAUGUGCAGAGAUAAUGUUUUCAAGGGAGAAAGGCAGAGUGCACUCACCAUGACUGGUCCCUCCAGAGAAGUGUGUACACAAGGUCACCUGAGGGCAAGCCAAAGGGCUCCCUCCUAUUGGCCUGUAGAGGGAAGGUGACACCUCUUGCGGUGUAAGACUGUAAGACACACACAGCAUUCUUUUUCAUUCCAACCACCUCAAUCUAAAAGCUUUCUUCUGUAGAGUAGAAUGGUAGGCAGCUUCUUAAAUGCCAACUGAAAACCCCAGUGUUCACAAACGCCAUCCCUUUCCCAAGCAGAAUGUGAUGUUCUCCC